CAAGUCGAGCGGUAGCACAGAGAGCUUGCUCUCGGGUGACGAGCGGCGGACGGGUGAGUAAUGUCUGGGAAACUGCCUGAUGGAGGGGGAUAACUACUGGAAACGGUAGCUAAUACCGCAUAAUGUCGCAAGACCAAAGUGGGGGACCUUCGGGCCUCAUGCCAUCAGAUGUGCCCAGAUGGGAUUAGCUAGUAGGUGGGGUAACGGCUCACCUAGGCGACGAUCCCUAGCUGGUCUGAGAGGAUGACCAGCCACACUGGAACUGAGACACGGUCCAGACUCCUACGGGAGGCAGCAGUGGGGAAUAUUGCACAAUGGGCGCAAGCCUGAUGCAGCCAUGCCGCGUGUGUGAAGAAGGCCUUCGGGUUGUAAAGCACUUUCAGCGGGGAGGAAGGCGUUAAGGUUAAUAACCUUGGCGAUUGACGUUACCCGCAGAAGAAGCACCGGCUAACUCCGUGCCAGCAGCCGCGGUAAUACGGAGGG
This 483-nucleotide ribosomal RNA is filed under the name uncultured Klebsiella sp. RNAcentral's name for it is "bacterial SSU rRNA". It matches the Rfam family "Bacterial small subunit ribosomal RNA", at positions 58 to 532 of the family's 1533-position model. The record is from RNAcentral. Lineage: Bacteria; Pseudomonadati; Pseudomonadota; Gammaproteobacteria; Enterobacterales; Enterobacteriaceae.